UACGGAGGGUGCGAGCGUUAAUCGGAAUUACUGGGCGUAAAGGGUGUGUAGGUUGUGUUAUAAGUUAGUUGUGAAAUACCUGGGCUUAACUUGGGAGUUGCAACUAAGACUGUAGUACUAGAGUAUAGGAGAGGGUAGUGGAAUUUCCGGUGUAGCGGUGAAAUGCGUAGAUAUCGGGAGGAACACCAGUGGCGAAGGCGGCCUGCUGGGCAGUUUAGCUGACACUGAGGCGCGACAGCGUGGGGAGCAAACAGG
RNAcentral lists this ribosomal RNA (255 nucleotides) under uncultured bacterium. RNAcentral's name for it is "partial 16S ribosomal RNA". It matches the Rfam family "Bacterial small subunit ribosomal RNA", at positions 524 to 776 of the family's 1533-position model. The record is from RNAcentral.